Molecule: long non-coding RNA, 628 nt
Filed under: Prunus persica (peach)
Lineage: Eukaryota; Viridiplantae; Streptophyta; Magnoliopsida; Rosales; Rosaceae
Description: long non-coding RNA (PPER_LNC001580)
Source: RNAcentral
AAAAACCUAGCGUAAUAGAAAACUAUUUAACUAUAUUUGAUUAUCACCAAACUUAUUUUAAGAUUUACUCUUUGUUUGUUUAUUUAUUUGACCACAAUUAAAUGUUUUAUUGUUUUUUGACUUGUUUAAAUAUUUCCAAGGAUCGACGAUUCUUGAUUGUAGACUUGAAAACCUGACAAUUCAUAUCAUUGAAUUGGAAUACGAAAUAGGCCUACAAUGUGUCCCUCAAAUAACCCUAUGUAACCGACUAUAACAAUAGAAACCAAUUGAAUAUGCUGUCAAUCACUAAAUUGAAAUAAUGUUUUAACUGAUUAUGUCGUGAAUAUUUUAAUUUUUAAUCAAACUUGCGUGACAAACCAUAGCAAGCAAAGCAAGAUUAGAAGCCAAAAUAGAUACUAACUUUUUUUUUCUUUUUUUGAGAGGAAGAAGGUACUAAAUCCUUACAAACAUAAUAUUGUAGGGUUUUCAAACAUAACGGGUGUAAAUAAUAUAUUGAAGAGCUGAACAUAAAAAUAUUAACGAACUUUGCAUCAGGUCUUAUUUUAUUUGCAAGGUCAAAGAUUAAUUAGAGUUGUAGUUGGUAACGCCACCAAACUGAAUAAAUAUUUCAAAGUACCUUGGAGUUGCA